GGAGGGCUGUAGCUCAGUGGUAGAGCAUCCAUUUUGCAUGCAGAAGGCCCCAGGUUCAAUACCCAAUGACAUCUCCA
This is a non-coding RNA of Podarcis lilfordi (Lilford's wall lizard), 77 nucleotides long. The record is from the annotation of a GenBank genome assembly. NCBI's taxonomy places the organism in Eukaryota, Metazoa, Chordata, Lepidosauria, Squamata, Lacertidae.